GAUGAACGCUGGCGGCGUGCCUAAUACAUGCAAGUCGAGCGAACAGACGAGGAGCUUGCUCCUCUGAUGUUAGCGGCGGACGGGUGAGUAACACGUGGAUAACCUACCUAUAAGACUGGGAUAACUUCGGGAAACCGGAGCUAAUACCGGAUAACAUGUUGAACCGCAUGGUUCAACAGUGAAAGACGGUCUUGCUGUCACUUAUAGAUGGAUCCGCGCCGCAUUAGCUAGUUGGUAAGGUAACGGCUUACCAAGGCAACUAUGCGUAGCCGACCUGAGAGGGUGAUCGGCCACACUGGAACUGAGACACGGUCCAGACUCCUACGGGAGGCAGCAGUAGGGAAUCUUCCGCAAUGGGCGAAAGCCUGACGGAGCAACGCCGCGUGAGUGAAGAAGGUCUUCGGAUCGUAAAACUCUGUUAUUAGGGAAGAACAAAUGUGUAAGUAACUAUGCACGUCUUGACGGUACCUAAUCAGAAAGCCACGGCUAACUACGUG
This 497-nucleotide ribosomal RNA is filed under the name uncultured bacterium. RNAcentral's name for it is "partial 16S ribosomal RNA". It matches the Rfam family "Bacterial small subunit ribosomal RNA", at positions 28 to 507 of the family's 1533-position model. The record is from RNAcentral.